RNAcentral lists this ribosomal RNA (2166 nucleotides) under Listeria monocytogenes. RNAcentral describes it as "partial 23S ribosomal RNA". It matches the Rfam family "Bacterial large subunit ribosomal RNA", at positions 1 to 2157 of the family's 2925-position model. The record is from RNAcentral. Lineage: Bacteria; Bacillati; Bacillota; Bacilli; Caryophanales; Listeriaceae.
UUGGUUAAGUUAGAAAGGGCGCACGGUGGAUGCCUUGGCACUAGGAGCCGAAGAAGGACGGGACUAACACCGAUAUGCUUUGGGGAGCUGUACGUAAGCGUUGAUCCAGAGAUUUCCGAAUGGGGGAACCCACUAUCUUUAGUCGGAUAGUAUCCUUACGUGAAUACAUAGCGUGAGGAAGGCAGACCCAGGGAACUGAAACAUCUAAGUACCUGGAGGAAGAGAAAGAAAAAUCGAUUUCCUGAGUAGCGGCGAGCGAAACGGAAAGAGCCCAAACCAAGAAGCUUGCUUCUUGGGGUUGUAGGACACUCUAUACGGAGUUACAAAAGAAAGUUAUAAAUGAAGCGGUCUGGAAAGGCCCGCCAAAGACGGUAACAGCCCGGUAGUUGAAAUGGCUUUCCCUCCAGAGUGGAUCCUGAGUACGGCGGAACACGUGAAAUUCCGUCGGAAUCCGGGAGGACCAUCUCCCAAGGCUAAAUACUCCCUAGUGACCGAUAGUGAACCAGUACCGUGAGGGAAAGGUGAAAAGCACCCCGGAAGGGGAGUGAAACAGUUCCUGAAACCGUGUGCCUACAAGUAGUUAGAGCCCGUUAAUGGGUGAUAGCGUGCCUUUUGUAGAAUGAACCGGCGAGUUACGAUUUGUUGCAAGGUUAAGCGGAAAAAGCGGAGCCGUAGCGAAAGCGAGUCUGAAUAGGGCGCAUAAGUAACAGGUCGUAGACCCGAAACCAGGUGAUCUACCCAUGUCCAGGAUGAAGGUAAGGUAAUACUUACUGGAGGUCCGAACCCACGCACGUUGAAAAGUGCGGGGAUGAGGUGUGGGUAGCGGAGAAAUUCCAAUCGAACUUGGAGAUAGCUGGUUCUCUCCGAAAUAGCUUUAGGGCUAGCCUCGAGGUAAAGAGUCAUGGAGGUAGAGCACUGUUUGGACUAGGGGCCCUUCUCGGGUUACCGAAUUCAGAUAAACUCCGAAUGCCAUGUACUUAUACUCGGGAGUCAGACUGCGAGUGAUAAGAUCCGUAGUCGAAAGGGAAACAGCCCAGACCACCAGUUAAGGUCCCCAAAUAUAUGUUAAGUGGAAAAGGAUGUGGGGUUGCUUAGACAACCAGGAUGUUGGCUUAGAAGCAGCCACCAUUGAAAGAGUGCGUAAUAGCUCACUGGUCGAGUGACCCCGCGCCGAAAAUGUACCGGGGCUAAACAUAUUACCGAAACUGUGGAUGAACCUCUUUAGAGGUUCGUGGUAGGAGAGCGUUCUAAGGGCGGUGAAGUCAGACCGGAAGGACUGGUGGAGCGCUUAGAAGUGAGAAUGCCGGUAUGAGUAGCGAAAGAAGGGUGAGAAUCCCUUCCACCGAAUAUCUAAGGUUUCCUGAGGAAGGCUCGUCCGCUCAGGGUUAGUCGGGACCUAAGCCGAGGCCGAUAGGCGUAGGCGAUGGACAACAGGUAGAGAUUCCUGUACCAGUGCUAAUUGUUUAACCGAUGGGGUGACACAGAAGGAUAGGGAAUCGCACGAAUGGAAAUGUGCGUCCAAGCAGUGAGUGUGAGAAGUAGGCAAAUCCGCUUCUCGCGAAGCAUGAGCUGUGAUGGGGAAGGAAAUUAAGUACGGAAGUUCCUGAUUUCACGCUGUCAAGAAAAGCCUCUAGGAAGAGUAGUACUGCCCGUACCGCAAACCGACACAGGUAGAUGAGGAGAGAAUCCUAAGGUGAGCGAGAGAACUCUCGUUAAGGAACUCGGCAAAAUGACCCCGUAACUUCGGGAGAAGGGGUGCUCUAUUAGGGUGCAAGCCCGAGAGAGCCGCAGUGAAUAGGCCCAGGCGACUGUUUAGCAAAAACACAGGUCUCUGCAAAACCGUAAGGUGACGUAUAGGGGCUGACGCCUGCCCGGUGCUGGAAGGUUAAGAGGAGUGCUUAGCUUCGGCGAAGGUACGAAUUGAAGCCCCAGUAAACGGCGGCCGUAACUAUAACGGUCCUAAGGUAGCGAAAUUCCUUGUCGGGUAAGUUCCGACCCGCACGAAAGGCGCAACGAUCUGGGCACUGUCUCAACGAGAGACUCGGUGAAAUUAUAGUACCUGUGAAGAUGCAGGUUACCCGCGACAGGACGGAAAGACCCCGUGGAGCUUUACUGCAACCUGAUAUGGAAUGUUUGUACCGCUUGUACAGGAUAGGUAGGAGCCGA